UGACAACAUAGGAGACAAAUUUUUGCUCUCCCUUUCAAGGGAUUUUUCAUCUUCCAAAGGGAUUCCGGAAGAUCGACAUAGACAAAUGGGAGUUUUUCAAUGAAGGAUUCCAGAAAGGAAAGAAGCAUUUACUGAAGAACAUUCAAAAGCGAAGGUCGUCUCAAUCGCAACAAGUUGGUAACUAUGUUGGAACUUCUUCUUCUUCUUCCAAUGCUGCAGGGAAAUCUGGAGUUGAAAUUGAGGUAGAAAAAUUGAAAAAGGAAAGAAGUGUGCUAAUGCAAGAAAUGAUUGAAUUGCAGCAA
Molecule: non-coding RNA, 302 nt
Organism: Cicer arietinum (chickpea)
Lineage: Eukaryota; Viridiplantae; Streptophyta; Magnoliopsida; Fabales; Fabaceae
Source: RefSeq, a predicted model, not a curated record